RNAcentral lists this ribosomal RNA (253 nucleotides) under uncultured bacterium. RNAcentral's name for it is "partial 16S ribosomal RNA". It matches the Rfam family "Bacterial small subunit ribosomal RNA", at positions 524 to 776 of the family's 1533-position model. The record is from RNAcentral.
UACGUAGGUGGCAAGCGUUGUCCGGAUUUAUUGGGUUUAAAGGGUGUGUAGGCGGUUUUCUAAGUUUGGUGUGAAAUCUCCCGGCUCAACCGGGAGGGUGCGCCGAAAACUGGGAGACUAGAGUGCGGUAUGGGAGAGUAGAAUUCCUGGUGUAGCGGUGAAAUGCGUAGAUAUCAGGAGGAAUACCGGUGGUGUAGACGGCUCUCUGGACCGCCACUGACGCUGAGACACGAAAGCGUGGGUAGCAAACAGG